This 773-nucleotide ribosomal RNA is filed under the name uncultured Neocallimastigales. RNAcentral's name for it is "partial large subunit ribosomal RNA". It matches the Rfam family "Eukaryotic large subunit ribosomal RNA", at positions 18 to 643 of the family's 3401-position model. The record is from RNAcentral. Lineage: Eukaryota; Fungi; Neocallimastigomycota; Neocallimastigomycetes; Neocallimastigales.
CAGACGAUGCGUCAUGCAUAUCAAUAAGCGGAGGAAAAGAAACUAACAAGGAUUCCCCUAGUAACGGCGAGUGAAGCGGGAAGAGCUCAAAUUUGAAAUCUUAAAGGGUUUCCCUUUACGAAUUGUAGUUUAAAGAAGUGUUUUCUGUUGAGGUUUUGGUAAAAGUUCUUUGGAAUAGGACAUCAUAGAGGGUGAGAAUCCCGUAUUUGACCUUUACUUUCAACUUUGUGAUACACUUUCAAAGAGUCGGAUUGUUUGGGAAUGCAGUCCAAAAUGGGUGGUAAAUUUCAUCUAAAGCUAAAUAUUGGCGAGAGACCGAUAGCGAACAAGUACCGUGAGGGAAAGAUGAAAAGAACUUUGAAAAGAGAGUUAAACAGUACGUGAAAUUGUCAAAAGGGAAGCGUUUGACACCAGUGUUGUUUUUCUGAAGAUCAAUUAAAGAACUGUUUAUGCUAAGCUGUUUAGACUUUAUCAGCUAACUGUUUAGUUUUGAGCUUUUCUUUAAUGCACUUUUCAGUUAACAAGUCAACAUCAAUUUCUUUUGCUGUAAAAAAGCUUGAGGAAGGUGGCUUGAGAUUCGUCUUAAGUGUUUAUAGCCUCUUGCCUAUGCAGUCGGAGAGAUUGAGGUCUGCAGCGUAGAUCCUUCGGGGCUAAAUGCAUUUGUGCUAAGUUAUAGCAUUUUAUAGACAACUUGUUGACUAUGAUUUGUCUUGUAGCUUACUCGCUUAUGUUAUUUUACCUACGCUUAGGAUGUUGACACACGCGCGUGCUCG